UACGGAGGAUGCAAGCGUUAUCCGGAAUGAUUGGGCGUAAAGCGUCCGCAGGUGGCUAUGUAAGUCUGCUGUUAAAGAGUGAGGCUCAACCUCAUAAGAGCAGUGGAAACUACAUGGCUAGAGUGCGUUCGGGGCAGAGGGAAUUCCUGGUGUAGCGGUGAAAUACGUAGAGAUCAGGAAGAACACCGGUGGCGAAAGCGCUCUGCUAGGCCGCAACUGACACUCAUGGACGAAAGCUAGGGGAGCGAAUGGG
RNAcentral lists this ribosomal RNA (253 nucleotides) under uncultured bacterium. RNAcentral's name for it is "partial 16S ribosomal RNA". It matches the Rfam family "Bacterial small subunit ribosomal RNA", at positions 524 to 776 of the family's 1533-position model. The record is from RNAcentral.